GACAGAGUGAGGGAGGGAGUGGGUGACCAGUGACAGAGGGAGGGGGUGACAUAGUGACAGAGUGAGGGAGGUGGUGACUGUCACUAGUCACCACCUCCCUCACUCUGUCCCUAGUCACCCCUCCCUCUGUCACUAGUCACCCCCUUCCUCACUCUGUCACU
Non-coding RNA from Pelobates cultripes (western spadefoot toad), 161 nucleotides. The record is from the annotation of a GenBank genome assembly. NCBI's taxonomy places the organism in Eukaryota, Metazoa, Chordata, Amphibia, Anura, Pelobatidae.